This 336-nucleotide unclassified non-coding RNA is filed under the name soil metagenome. RNAcentral's name for it is "partial contains 5.8S ribosomal RNA, internal transcribed spacer 2, and large subunit ribosomal RNA". The stretch from base 1 to 119 matches the Rfam family "5.8S ribosomal RNA", at positions 35 to 154 of the family's 154-position model. The record is from RNAcentral.
GAUGAAGAACGAGCGAAAUGCGAUAAGUAAUGUGAAUUGCAGAAUUCAGUGAAUCAUCGAAUCUUUGAACGCACAUUGCGCCCCUUGGUAUUCCGAGGGGCAUGCCUGUUCGAGCGUCAUUACACCACUCAAGCUAUGCUUGGUAUUGGGCGUCGUCCUUAGUUGGGCGCGCCUUAAAGACCUCGGCGAGGCCACUCCGGCUUUAGGCGUAGUAGAAUUUAUUCGAACGUCUGUCAAAGGAGAGGAACUCUGCCGACUGAAACCUUUAUUUUUCUAGGUUGACCUCGGAUCAGGUAGGGAUACCAGCUGAACUUAAGCAUAUCAAUAAGCGGAGGA